GCUUCCGCCUGCCGGCGACCGGCGCACGGGUGAGUAACGCGUAUGCAACCUGCCCGGACCAGCGGGAUAACCCGGGGAAACCCGGCCUAAUACCGCACGGCGCCGCUUUGGGGCAUCCCAUUGCGGCUAAAGAUUUAUCGGGUCCGGAUGGGCAUGCGUGGCAUUAGCUGGUUGGCGGGGUAACGGCCCACCAAGGCUGCGAUGCCUAGGGGUUCUGAGAGGAAGGUCCCCCACACUGGUACUGAGACACGGACCAGACUCCUACGGGAGGCAGCAGUGAGGAAUAUUGGUCAAUGGGCAUAAGCCUGAACCAGCCAAGUCGCGUGAGGGACGACGGCCCUACGGGUUGUACACCUCUUUUGCCGGGGGACAAACGGCGGCACGCGUGCCGUCCUGAGGGUACCCGGAGAAAAAGCAUCGGCUAACUCCGUGCCAGCAGCCGCGGUAAUACGGAGGAUGCGAGCGUUAUCCGGAUUUAUUGGGUUUAAAGGGUGCGUAGGCGGGAUGCCAAGUCAGCGGUCAAAUACGGGGGCUCAACCUGCGUCCGCCGUUGAAACUGGCGUUCUUGAGUGGGCGAGAAGUACGCGGAAUGCGUGGUGUAGCGGUGAAAUGCAUAGAUAUCACGCAGAACCCCGAUUGCGAAGGCAGCGUACCGGCGCCCGACUGACGCUGAAGCACGAAAGCGUGGGUAUCGAACAGGAUUAAAUACCCUGGUAGUCCACGCAGUAAACGAUGAACACUAAUUGUCCGGCGG
Molecule: ribosomal RNA, 754 nt
Filed under: uncultured bacterium
Lineage: Bacteria
Description: bacterial SSU rRNA
Rfam family: Bacterial small subunit ribosomal RNA
Source: RNAcentral